This 71-nucleotide microRNA precursor is filed under the name Myotis davidii. Its description in RNAcentral is "mir-9193 microRNA precursor family". It matches the Rfam family "mir-9193 microRNA precursor family". Lineage: Eukaryota; Metazoa; Chordata; Mammalia; Chiroptera; Vespertilionidae. The record is from Rfam by way of RNAcentral.
CUUGGCGGGGGGGCACUCAGCCUGAAUUGCGAGAGGAUGCAGCCCAGGCUGAGUGACCCCACCGGUGCACA